GACGAACGCUGGCGGCGUGCUUAACACAUGCAAGUCGAACGGGAAGGCCCUGCUUUUGUUGAGUGCUCGAGUGGCGAACGGGUGAGUAACACGUUAGUAGCCUGCCGUUGACUUUGGGAUAACUUCAGGAAACUGGGGCUAAUACCGGAUAGGAGCUCCUGCUGCAUUGUGGGGGUUGGAAAGUUUCGGCGGGUGGGGCGGGACUCGCGGCUUAUCAGCUUGUUGGUGGGGUAGUGGCUUACCAAGGCUUUGACGGGUAGCCGGCCUGAGGGGGUGACGGGGCACAUUGGGACUGAGAUCCGGCCCAGAGUCCUCAGGGGGGAAGAAGCGGCCAAUAUUGACCGAUGGGCGGCGGCGCGAUGCAGCAACGACGAGUGAGGGAUGAGGGCCGUAGGGUUGUAAACCGCUUUCGAAUGUGCCGAGGAGUGAGAGAAGGUAAUGGGUAAAGAAGCACCGGCUAACUACGUG
Molecule: ribosomal RNA, 468 nt
Filed under: uncultured bacterium
Lineage: Bacteria
Description: partial 16S ribosomal RNA
Rfam family: Bacterial small subunit ribosomal RNA
Source: RNAcentral